RNAcentral lists this transfer RNA (68 nucleotides) under Marmota monax (woodchuck). Its description in RNAcentral is "tRNA.Ala". The record is from RNAcentral. Lineage: Eukaryota; Metazoa; Chordata; Mammalia; Rodentia; Sciuridae.
GGACUAUAGCUCAGUGGCAGAGCGCUUGCCUAGCAUGCAUGAGGCACCGGGUUUGAUCCUCAGCACCA